This 551-nucleotide ribosomal RNA is filed under the name Wickerhamiella infanticola. Its description in RNAcentral is "partial large subunit ribosomal RNA". It matches the Rfam family "Eukaryotic large subunit ribosomal RNA", at positions 87 to 666 of the family's 3401-position model. The record is from RNAcentral. Lineage: Eukaryota; Fungi; Ascomycota; Dipodascomycetes; Dipodascales; Trichomonascaceae.
CGGCGAGUGAAGCGGCAAUAGCUCAAAUUUGAAAUCUGCCAACAGGCCGAGUUGUAAUUUGAAGAAAGCAAUUCUGGAUGUGUCUUUGCUCAAGUUCCUUGGAACAGGACAUCAUGGAGGGUGAGAAUCCCGUGAUGCGAAGGUAGCAUAUCUAUGUAGAAUGUUUUCGACGAGUCGAGUUGUUUGGGAAUGCAGCUCAAAGUGGGUGGUAAAUUCCAUCUAAAGCUAAAUAUUGGCGAGAGACCGAUAGCGAACAAGUACUGUGAAGGAAAGAUGAAAAGAACUUUGAAAAGAGAGUGAAAAAGUACGUGAAAUUGUUGAAAUGGAAGGGCUUGAGAUUAGACAUGGUGUUUAGUGUUCCACUUUCUUUUGGGAAUGUGUACUCGCUUUACACCGGGCCAGCAUCAGUUUUGGUGGGAGGAUAAAUGGUAUUGAAUGUGGCUGCUUGCAGUGUUAUAGCUUUAUCAAAUACUUCCAAUCGGGACUGAGGACCGCGCAUUUGCUAGGAUGCUGGCGUAAUGAUCUUAAGCCACCCGUCUUGAACCACGGAC